CCGGCCUUAACGCGGUAUAACACUAUUGUCUAAUCUUUAUAACCUCUAUAAUCAUAGAGCUAAGUAAAGUUUUGUUGUAUCAGAGAGGAACCUAAAAGUAUUAGCGUAAAAUGGCAAAACAUUAUAGUGCAAUUGAAAAAAAAAUCUUUCUAGAAAUAUUAAAAGAUUUCAAGCACGUUGUAGAAAUUUAAAAAAGUGAUAGUUCAACACUUCGCGACAAAGAAGUUGCAUGGACCGAAAUUGUUAAACGAUAUAAUGACUCUACAAUGAUUAUGCAAGAGCCUACAGUCCAACAGCUAAAAAAAUUGUGGGCAAACAUGAAGCAAGGUCAACGAGAAAUAUUAACUAAAGAGAAACAGGCUCGUUUAGCCACUGGUGGUGGUCCACCUCCUUCUGAGACAAACAUUGAUCCUGAUAUAGCAUUAAUAAACCCACAUCUUAUGAAAACAGCUCCUGUUUUAUUUUCAUCAAACAUGACAGCAGAUGAAAUUAAUAGUUAGUCUUUAAACGUAUUUAUAAUCAAAUAAAAUGGAUAUUAUAUAAGAAAUAUAUAUAGUAUACUAUUUAUAUAGAUAGUAUAUAUACUAUUUCAUACGAUCAAUACGAAAUUAUACAAAGUUAUAAUUUUUUAUUAAUAAUAGUAACUACAAAGUUACUUACUCUAGGAAUCUAUGCAGCCACGCGCCAACAAAUUUUGUUAAACUUUAAUAACGUAACCAUUUCCUAUUCCAGAAUGAAAAUUAAUUAAUGAAUAGAUCUUAAUUUAUUAAUUAAUUAAUAAUAUUCGUUGUGAAAAAUAUCACCCCACGCCAGGAUUCGAACCUAGAACCUCUCUCAUUCCGUGCGAGCGUCUUUCCAAUUCGACCACUUGGGGCAUGUGGUGAUAUCUUCCACCAGAUAUAUGAUGACCGCCGAAUUUUCUGGAAACGAGAGUACGAGCGUUCGAGACGGCGAUUCCUCUUUGGAGAAGAAGAAUUCUAAGCGGAAAAAGCGGAAGACGUCGCAUCACACGUGAUCUCAGUCACCUCGGAUUCAUCUAAUUCUUGCAAAUCGUGUCCACUAUGCCGAGAUCAGCGUUCCACCCGUUUGUGCGCAAAAUUCAAGACACUCCGGAACAAUAAUGAGACUACGGAAUAAACGCACAUUGUUUCAAUUAGUUCAGGUAAUUCUGUUUCCAGUUGUCCGUUCACAAACGUCCGGCCAUCAAGCCGGCUGUCAAGUCAUCACGGAUAUUGGUAUCUCUCUGAUAGUAGGACCAAUCGAGAAAAUCGCAGCUAUAAAACAGUCAGAGCUACUACUGUCAGGUAGUGAAGUCAUGGUACGAACAACGGUAUUUUUCGUACUAACACAAUCUACAAAAAUUAUUUAUACAAUACUUUUACGAGUAAAAAUAAAAUAUGAAUGAUUCAAAUAUUAAUUAAAGCAAUAUUGGGCAAAUUACUAAUCAUUAUAGUCUUCGAUAAAAGGUGGAUUGCAGUCUGAUUUCUCAAUUCCCCAUGAUUAAUUUCAUCUUGGGCGGUAAGAUAUAUGUUCAGUCUAACUGACGAGGAUAUCCUUCAAGUGAGUAUGGUGUUACGCAAGUUUAAAUUUUUUAUUCGGAAUAAAAAUAAGUUUGUUACAAUAAAACGCAUUGUUUUCAUAC
Molecule: RNA transcript, 1642 nt
Organism: Ooceraea biroi (clonal raider ant)
Lineage: Eukaryota; Metazoa; Arthropoda; Insecta; Hymenoptera; Formicidae
Source: RefSeq, a predicted model, not a curated record